CCUACGGGUGGCAGCAGUGAGGAAUAUUGGUCAAUGGACGCAAGUCUGAACCAGCCAUGCCGCGUGCAGGAAGACGGCUCUAUGAGUUGUAAACUGCUUUUGUACGGAGGUAAACGCAGAUACGCGUAUCUGUCUGACAGUAUCGUACGAUUCAUGCUCGGCUAACUCCGUGCCAGCAGCCGCGGUAAUACGGAGGAUUCAAGCGUUAUCCGGAUUUAUUGGGUUUAAAGGGUGCGUAGGCGGUCGGAUAAGUUAGAGGUGAAAUCCCGAGGCUCAACUUCGGAAUUGCCUCUGAUACUGUUCGGCUAGAGAGUAGGUGCGGGAGGUGGAAUGCAUGGUGUAGCGGUGAAAUGCGUAGAGAUCAUACAGAACACCGAUUGCGAAGGCAGCCUACCAAGCUACUUCUGACGUUGAGGCACGAAAGCGUGGGGAGCAAACAGGAUUAGAUACCCGAGUAGUC
RNAcentral lists this ribosomal RNA (460 nucleotides) under uncultured bacterium. Its description in RNAcentral is "partial 16S ribosomal RNA". It matches the Rfam family "Bacterial small subunit ribosomal RNA", at positions 338 to 795 of the family's 1533-position model. The record is from RNAcentral.